Molecule: ribosomal RNA, 689 nt
Filed under: uncultured Lachnospiraceae bacterium
Lineage: Bacteria; Bacillati; Bacillota; Clostridia; Lachnospirales; Lachnospiraceae
Description: bacterial SSU rRNA
Rfam family: Bacterial small subunit ribosomal RNA
Source: RNAcentral
AGUCGAACGAAGCGCUUAAUGGAUUCUUCGGAUUGAAGUUUUUGUGAGUGAGUGGCGGACGGGUGAGUAACGCGUGGGUAACCUGCCUCAUACAGGGGGAUAACAGUUAGAAAUGACUGCUAAUACCGCAUAAGCGCACAGUGCUGCAUGGCACAGUGUGAAAAACUCCGGUGGUAUGAGAUGGACCCGCGUCUGAUUAGCUAGUUGGUGGGGUAACGGCCUACCAAGGCGACGAUCAGUAGCCGGCCUGAGAGGGUGAACGGCCACAUUGGGACUGAGACACGGCCCAAACUCCUACGGGAGGCAGCAGUGGGGAAUAUUGCACAAUGGGGGAAACCCUGAUGCAGCGACGCCGCGUGAGCGAAGAAGUAUUUCGGUAUGUAAAGCUCUAUCAGCAGGGAAGAAAAUGACGGUACCUGACUAAGAAGCACCGGCUAAAUACGUGCCAGCAGCCGCGGUAAUACGUAUGGUGCAAGCGUUAUCCGGAUUUACUGGGUGUAAGGGAGCGUAGACGGUUGUGUAAGUCUGAUGUGAAAGCCCGGGGCUCAACCCCGGGACUGCAUUGGAAACUAUGUAACUAGAGUGUCGGAGAGGUAAGCGGAAUUCCUAGUGUAGCGGUGAAUGCGUAGAUAUUAGGAGGAACACCAGUGGCGAAGGCGGCUUACUGGACGAUCACUGACGUUGAGGCU